Molecule: long non-coding RNA, 1106 nt
Organism: Polyodon spathula (Mississippi paddlefish)
Lineage: Eukaryota; Metazoa; Chordata; Actinopteri; Acipenseriformes; Polyodontidae
Exons: 3
Source: RefSeq, a predicted model, not a curated record
AUUUUUUUUUUUAGCAUAUUCCUGUUUACAAGGAUAAAAAAUACUAAUCAGUUUAGAAAAUAAAAUACAAAGUUUCCAGUUCUCAAUAUGUGAAUAUUUUAUGUACAAAUGGAUAUUGAGUGCAAUACAGCAGUAACAUACUUGCAAGUUCCACUUUCCCAGCUUUAAAAUAACAAUGCCUUAUUCCCUGUUUCAGUGAGGUGAAAGAUUCCCCAUUUAGACUCGUCAAAAACGUAAUUUCGUUAAACCGUCGUCUUGGAUUAUAUCUGGCAAUGCAUCUGUUUUUGUUUUCCAGAUUUAAACAGUUUGUGUGUGUAUGUAAUGUCUAUUUAUAAAAUGGCGUAGACUGUCAAGCAGCAUCCCAUCGCAUAUUCCCUAUGUGACCAUGCAAUAGGAUUGAGCCCCUAGUGUUUCUAACGCCAUGUUAUCAGAUCAAUAGCACACUCCAUGGAGUCCAGUCAUACUAUAGUUAGUACAUCACUUGUACCGUCUGGCUGUUCAAAUCAUUCAAAAUGAUACAUUUUCUGCUGUAAAACAUAUAAAGACACCCUGUACACAUGAUGUAAUAACUGCUCAUCAAUCACAAAAAUGAAGAGGGUGCUUGAUUACAUCUCUACGCAGAAAAAAAGAGGUUCUGGAAUUCUGUGAAUGAAACGUUCUGUGCGCGUGAUAACAUCUCUACACAGAAAUAAAGAGGUUCUGGAAUUCUGUGAAUGAAACGUUCUGUGCGCGUGAUAACAUCUCUACACAGAAAAAAAGAGGUUCUGGAAUUCUGUGAAUGAAACGUUCUGUGCGCGUGAUAACAUCUCUACACAGAAAAAAAGAGGUUCUGGAAUUCUGUGAAACGUUCUGUGCGCGUGAUAACAUCUCUACACAAAAAAAGGUUCUGGAAUUCUGUGAAUGAAACGUUCUGUGCGCGUGAUAACAUCUCUACACAGAAAUAAAGAGGUUCUGGAAUUCUGUGAAUGAAACGUUCUGUGCGCGUGAUAACAUCUCUACACAGAAAAAAAGAGGUUCUGGAAUUCUGUGAAUGAAACGUUCUGUGCGCGUGAUAACAUCUCUACACAGAAAAAAAGAGGUUCUGGAAUUCUGUGAAUGAAACGUUC